Non-coding RNA from Spinacia oleracea (spinach), 106 nucleotides. NCBI's taxonomy places the organism in Eukaryota, Viridiplantae, Streptophyta, Magnoliopsida, Caryophyllales, Amaranthaceae. The record is from Rfam.
AGACCAUGGUGUGGGCACUCUCUCUACAAAUCCUUGAACCUUUCCCAGACCUUGAACAAACUCUCAUCUGCCUGUUGAGUAAUAACAAUGAGUUGUUUUCUCAGGU